GGGGGCACAGCCUGUCAGCAUACAAAUCUGGUUCCAAUAGAAAAAGGAUAAGAAAGAAAAGGUAAAAAGAGAGUGGAAGGAAGAUGUUCGAUGCAACUUCAAAUAAAACAGAGUACUCGGACACUCACAUGAACACCAACAGCUGGAUCGAUGGACUAACUCCUCGAAGCCACCCAAGUUUAAGUACCACAACCUCUGGACAUAGGUUGGCAGAGUGUCGAAGGUGCGGAUUAGACAUGCACCGAAGCCCAAAUCUAUGAUUUUUUAAGGGAGCCUAAUUCUUAAAAGAUUCAUCUGAAAAUAGGGAUUAGACAUGCACCGAAGCCCAAAUCUAUGAUUUUCUAGAGGAGCCUAAUUCUUAAAAGGUUUGUCCAAAGACAGAGAUCAGAUUCGCACUGAAGUCCUAAAUCUAUGAUUUUCUAAGGAAGACCUAAUUACCUUAAAGGUCUAUUUGGUGAUAG
RNAcentral lists this long non-coding RNA (461 nucleotides) under Elaeis guineensis (African oil palm). Its description in RNAcentral is "long non-coding RNA (EGUI_LNC010039)". Lineage: Eukaryota; Viridiplantae; Streptophyta; Magnoliopsida; Arecales; Arecaceae. The record is from RNAcentral.